CCUGGCGGCACUAGCGCGGUGGUCCCACCUGACCCCAUGCCGAACUCAGAAGUGAAACGCCGUAGCGCCGAUGGUAGUGUGGGGUCUCCCCAUGUGAGUAGGGAACAUCAAAU
RNAcentral lists this ribosomal RNA (113 nucleotides) under Klebsiella pneumoniae. The record is from RNAcentral. Lineage: Bacteria; Pseudomonadati; Pseudomonadota; Gammaproteobacteria; Enterobacterales; Enterobacteriaceae.